RNAcentral lists this ribosomal RNA (2896 nucleotides) under Clostridioides difficile. RNAcentral describes it as "bacterial LSU rRNA". It matches the Rfam family "Bacterial large subunit ribosomal RNA". Lineage: Bacteria; Bacillati; Bacillota; Clostridia; Peptostreptococcales; Peptostreptococcaceae. The record is from RNAcentral.
UCAAGUUAUUAAGGGUGCAGGGCGGAUGCCUUGGCACUAGGAGCCGAUGAAGGACGUGAUAAGCUGCGAUAAGCUUCGGGGAGUUGCACGUAAACUUUGAUCCGAAGAUUUCCGAAUGAGGAAACUCACUUAGAGUAAUGUCUAAGUAUCAUUAAGUGAAUACAUAGCUUAAUGAGGGGAACUCAGGGAACUGAAACAUCUAAGUACCUGAAGGAAGAGAAAGAAAUUCGAUUCCGUAAGUAGCGGCGAGCGAACGCGGAUUAGCCCAAACCAAUAAAGUUUUCUUUAUUGGGGUUGCGGACAUAUCAUAACGAAGAGGUAUCGUAAUUGAAGAGGUUUGGAAAGACCCACCACAGAAGGUAAUAGUCCUGUAUGUUAAACGAGAAGACUUUAGAUAUGAUCCAGAGUACCACGGGACACGUGAAACCCUGUGGGAAGCAGGAGGGACCACCCUCCAAGGCUAAAUACUACCUAGUGACCGAUAGCGUAUAGUACCGUGAGGGAAAGGUGAAAAGAACCCCGGGAGGGGAGUGAAAUAGAACCUGAAACCCUGCACUUACAAGCUGUGGAAGCACAUUUCUUGUGUGACCGCGUACUUUUUGUAGAACGGGCCAACGAGUUACGUUAAGUAGCAAGGUUAAGCACUUAAGGUGCGGAGCCGUAGCGAAAGCGAGUUUUAACUGAGCGUUCAGUUACUUGACGUAGACCCGAAACCGGGCGACCUACCCAUGAGCAGGAUGAAGCGAAAGUAAAAUUUCGUGGAGGUCCGAACCCACGAGCGUUGAAAAGCUCGGGGAUGACUUGUGGGUAGCGGUGAAAUUCCAAUCGAGCCCGGAGAUAGCUGGUUCUCCCCGAAAUAGCUUUAGGGCUAGCCUCAAGGUGAGAGAUACGGAGGUAGAGCACUGAAUGUCCUAGGGGGUAUUGCACCUACCGAAGACUAUCAAACUCCGAAUGCCGUCAUCUUAUACUUGGGAGUCAGACUGUGGGUGAUAAGAUUCAUAGUCGAAAGGGCAACAGCCCAGAUCGUCAGCUAAGGUCCCUAAAUGUAAGUUAAGUGGUAAAGGAUGUGGGAUUGCACAGACAACCAGGAUGUUGGCUUAGAAGCAGCCACUCAUUCAAAGAGUGCGUAAUAGCUCACUGGUCGAGUGAUCCUGCGCCGAAGAUUUCCGGGGCUAAAACUUACUACCGAAGCUACGGCAUCAGUAAUGAUGGGUAGGGGAGCUUCCCAUACGGGUUGAAGCAUGACCGUAAGGACAUGUGGACAGUAUGGGAGUGAGAAUGUUGGCAUGAGUAGCGAGAUGUGGGUGAGAAUCCCACAGGCCGUAAACCCAAGGUUUCCAGGGGAAGGUUCGUCCGCCCUGGGUUAGUCGGGACCUAAGCUGAGGCCGAAAGGCGUAGGUGAUGGACAACAGGUUGAUAUUCCUGUACUACCGAUAACCGUUUGAGAGAAGGGAUGACACAGUAGGAUAAGCUAAGCACACUGUUGGUUAUGUGUGCCCAAGCAUUGAGGCAGUCAAAGCAGGCAAAUCCGCUUUGAUAAUGCUGGGAUGUGAUGGGGAGCGAAAUUUAGUAGCGAAGUAGCUGAUUUCACACUGUCAAGAAAAGUCUCUAUCGAGGUUAAAGGUACCCGUACCGCAAACCGACACAGGUGGGUGAGGAGAGUAUCCUAAGGCCAGCGAGAGAACUGUUGUUAAGGAACUCGGCAAAAUGACCCCGUAACUUAGGGAUAAGGGGUGCCACCAUCCGGUGGCCGCAGAGAAUAGGCCCAAGCGACUGUUUACCAAAAACAUAGGUUUCUGCUAAGUCGCAAGACGAUGUAUAGGAGCUGACGCCUGCCCGGUGCUGGAAGGUUAAGGGGAUCUGUUAGAGCAAUCGAAGCAGUGAACUUAAGCCCCAGUAAACGGCGGCCGUAACUAUAACGGUCCUAAGGUAGCGAAAUUCCUUGUCGGGUAAGUUCCGACCCGCACGAAAGGCGUAACGAUUUGGGCACUGUCUCAACAACAGACUCGGUGAAAUUGUAAUUCCGGUGAAGAUGCCGGAUACCUGCGACAGGACGGAAAGACCCCAUGGAGCUUUACUGUAGCUUGACAUUGGGUCUUGGUACUACAUGUACAGGAUAGGUGGGAGGCUUUGAAACCAGGACGCCAGUUUUGGCGGAGCCAUCCUUGGGAUACCACCCUUGUAGUACUGGGACUCUAACCAUAGGCCAUGAAUCUGGUCUUGGGACACUGUCAGGUGGGCAGUUUGACUGGGGCGGUCGCCUCCCAAAAGGUAACGGAGGCGCUCAAAGGUUCUCUCAGUACGGUCGGAAAUCGUACGUAGAGUGUAAAGGCAAAAGAGAGCUUGAUUGCAAGACAUACAGGUCGAGCAAGGAUGAAAAUCGGACUUAGUGAUCCGGUGGUUCUGCGUGGAAGGGCCAUCGCUCAACGGAUAAAAGCUACCCUGGGGAUAACAGGCUUAUCUCCCCCAAGAGUCCACAUCGACGGGGAGGUUUGGCACCUCGAUGUCGGCUCAUCACAUCCUGGGGCUGUAGUAGGUCCCAAGGGUUGGGCUGUUCGCCCAUUAAAGUGGUACGCGAGCUGGGUUCAGAACGUCGUGAGACAGUUCGGUCCCUAUCCGUCGCAGGCGUAGGAAAUUUGAGAAGACCUGUCCUUAGUACGAGAGGACCGGGAUGGACGUACCUCUGGUGUACCAGUUGUCCUGCCAAGGGCAUGGCUGGGUAGCUAUGUACGGAAUGGAUAAGCGCUGAAAGCAUCUAAGCGCGAAGCCAACUUCAAGAUAAGAUUUCCCACCGCAAGGGUAAGACCCCAGAAAGACUAUCUGGUUGAUAGGUCGAAGGUGUAAGUGCAGCAAUGUAUUUAGCUUAUCGAUACUAAUAGGUCGAGGACUUGACCAA